AGAGUUUUAUCCUGGCUCAGNACGAACGCUGGNGGCAGGCUUAACACAUNCAAGUCGCANGAGAACGUUCUGGCUUUGNCAGNACAAGUACAGUGGCGGNCGGGUGGGUAUNGCGUAGAUAACNUGCCCUCAGGCGCGGGACAAUCNCGGGAANCCGUGGNUAAUUCCGCACGUCGUCUGGNCCCCGCAUGGGGACCAGAUGAAAGCCUUCGGGCGCCUUUGGAUGGGUCUGCGUUGGAUUAGCUUGUUGGUGAGGUAACGGCUCACCAAGGCAACGAUCCAUAGCUGGUCUGAGAGGACGAUCAGCCACACUGGGACUGAGACACAGGCCCAGACUCCUACGGGAGGCAGCAGUGGGGAAUCUUGCACAAUGGGGUCACCCCUGAUGCAGCCAUGCCGCGUGGAGGAAGACACCCCUAUGGGGCGUAAACUCCUUUUCUGAAUGAAGAAACCCCUGUAGGUUCAGGGCGCGACGGUAGNUCAGGAAUAAGCACCGGCU
This 499-nucleotide ribosomal RNA is filed under the name uncultured prokaryote. RNAcentral describes it as "partial 16S ribosomal RNA". It matches the Rfam family "Bacterial small subunit ribosomal RNA", at positions 8 to 498 of the family's 1533-position model. The record is from RNAcentral.